This 695-nucleotide ribosomal RNA is filed under the name uncultured Glomeromycotina. RNAcentral describes it as "SSU rRNA". It matches the Rfam family "Eukaryotic small subunit ribosomal RNA", at positions 346 to 1045 of the family's 1831-position model. The record is from RNAcentral. Lineage: Eukaryota; Fungi; Glomeromycota.
AUGGUGGUAACGGGUAACGGGGUGUUAGGGCACGACACCGGAGAGGGAGCCUGAGAAACGGCUACCACAUCCAAGGAUGGCAGCAGGCGCGCAAAUUACCCAAUCCCGGCACGGGGAGGUAGUGACAAUAAAUAACAAUACGGGGUUCUUUCGGAUCUCGUAAUUGGAAUGAGUACAAUUUAAAUCUCUUAACGAGGAACAAUUGGAGGGCAAGUCUGGUGCCAGCAGCCGCGGUAACUCCAGCUCCAAUAGCGUAUAUUAAAGUUGUUGCAGUUAAAAAGCUCGUAGUUGAAUUUCGGGGUUAGCAGGUCGGUCGUGCCAUCGGUAUGAACUGGUCUCGCUGAUCCCUCCCUCUUGACGAACUGUGAUGCCAUUAAUUUGGUGUCGCAGGGAAUCAGGACUGUUACUUUGAAAAAAUUAGAGUGUUUAAAGCAGGCUCACGCUUGAAUACAUUAGCAUGGAAUAAUGAAAUAGGACGUUUGAUCCUAUUUUGUUGGUUUCUAGGAUUGACGUAAUGAUUAAUAGGGAUAGUUGGGGGCAUUAGUAUUCAAUUGUCAGAGGUGAAAUUCUUGGAUUUAUUGAAGACUAACUACUGCGAAAGCAUUUGCCAAGGAUGUUUUCAUUAAUCAAGAACGAAAGUUAGGGGAUCGAAGACGAUCAGAUACCGUCGUAGUCUUAACCAUAAACUAUGCCGA